Molecule: ribosomal RNA, 690 nt
Filed under: Triticum aestivum (bread wheat)
Lineage: Eukaryota; Viridiplantae; Streptophyta; Magnoliopsida; Poales; Poaceae
Description: partial small subunit ribosomal RNA
Source: RNAcentral
AUGUCGGAGCCCCGUCGGCGUGCUCCUGGAGAUGCAGCCCCUCCUUACGAUGCUUUUGAUGGUCUUUUCUCGGUUGAGAUACAUCACAAAGGUUUCUUUUGUGGAACUGACAACAACAACACCUACAUGGAUUAUGAAGUUGCAUGGUUUGACAACUGUGAUAGUGAUACAUGGUCCUUGUUAUGGAUUGAUGACUUUUUGCAGCAGCUAGGUUAUGACAGAGAUUGUUUGAAGCUUGAUGUGUACUGGUGUCAGCCUGGAAAGACAUUGGUUGAUGGGCUAAGAAAUUUGACAUGUGAUGCAAAUAUCCUUGCAAUGAUAACAACAACUACAGAGCACAAGAACUUGUUACUGAUUGUAGACCAUGGAGAGAGAUUUGACAGUGCUCUCAGAGAUGAUAUUUUACUUGAUGGAGUUCCUGUACUUUCAAAGGUCAUUACUCCAGGAAAAGAAAGCAAGGGAAAAGAGCAAUAUAGCUGUCCCGAGGAGAGAAGUGUGCCAAAUAAGAGGAGGUCUAGGAGGUUUUUUGGGGAAGGUUCAUCCUCAGGUUGUGCUGAUGAAGAAUUGGAGGAAGAAGAUGGAGUAAAUGCAGCUGAAUUAGAGACAGAUGAGGAUUUCUAUGAUAGUGACUAUGACAUAGAAGAUGGGGAUGACGAUCACGACAACUGCUAUGUCAAGUGGAAGAGGUAG